RNAcentral lists this transfer RNA (67 nucleotides) under Paropaon sp. OR337. RNAcentral's name for it is "tRNA-Thr". It matches the Rfam family "tRNA". From Rfam's summary of the family: Transfer RNA (tRNA) molecules are approximately 80 nucleotides in length. Their secondary structure includes four short double-helical elements and three loops (D, anti-codon, and T loops). Lineage: Eukaryota; Metazoa; Arthropoda; Insecta; Orthoptera; Acrididae. The record is from RNAcentral.
GUUUUAAUAGUUUAAAAAACACUGGUCUUGUAAACCAGAGAUAAGGCUGCCCCCUCCUUUUAAAACA